CAAGUCCAGGUGUCCGUUUGGACUCUGUAAGGCCUCGUCCACAGCUCUCUGGUAAAAAAACAACUGAAUAAUUUUAGAACGGUUCAGUCCAAUGGGAUGUUGUUUGUUGUUCUUCCAGCAGGUUGAUUCCAGAGUUGAUGAAGGUCUGAUGGACAUGAAGAGCAGCCAGAAACUCCUGAACACUCAGAUGGACUAAGCAGAACACCUUGUCCUGAUCGUCUGAAAUGAAGGGGAUGCUCCUUUGACCAGUCACUCUUCAUGGACACACAGCUGGAUCCAGGUAGGUCCAGGUCCAGGUCCAAGCCCAGAUCCAGGUCCAAGCCCAGGUCCAAGUCCAACAGAGUGUGUGUUUUGCUGCUCAGGGAUUCAACACACAGAGCUGUGAAUGUGAAUAAUGACAGCAGUGAUGUGAUGCGGAGCUCUGACAGUUAGAGAUGCUCAUCUCACCUCUGAGCUUUGCUCUGGUUCUCCUGUUCCCCACACAGAGAUCUUCCCUCCUCU
Amphiprion ocellaris (clown anemonefish) is the source of this 501-nucleotide long non-coding RNA. NCBI's taxonomy places the organism in Eukaryota, Metazoa, Chordata, Actinopteri, Pomacentridae. The record is from Ensembl.